Cannabis sativa is the source of this 107-nucleotide small nucleolar RNA. The record is from RefSeq and is a predicted model, not a curated record. NCBI's taxonomy places the organism in Eukaryota, Viridiplantae, Streptophyta, Magnoliopsida, Rosales, Cannabaceae.
AUGUCAUGAUGAGGACACUUCCUGUGUAGGUCUUUGAAUAUUUUCCAAGCAUCAUAUAGUGAUUCUCCAUUCAAUUGAUAGAAAUUAUUGAUCUCUCCUCUUAAACG